Long non-coding RNA from Hyla sarda, 1781 nucleotides. RefSeq lists it as uncharacterized. NCBI's taxonomy places the organism in Eukaryota, Metazoa, Chordata, Amphibia, Anura, Hylidae. The record is from RefSeq and is a predicted model, not a curated record. The transcript is spliced from 4 exons.
ACCCCUGUAUGUGAAUAAAUCUCUCUGUGUGGUGAAGGGAAAGAGCAUGUGCUUUGAGGCACUUUAAUAAUAUACAGGGUGCAAUCUACCCUAAAGCCAGCCCUGUGCAGCUUCUUCUCAGGACAUACACCAUCUCACUGACACAUAGCCGCACCCCCACAACUUUAUCAACGAGUUAAGCGCCUCAGUAGGACAAAGCAUGGGAAAUCCCCACCCCCCUUAUCUGCACUUGGUACCGCCCUAAGCGCUUACUGGCUCGCUGUCUCUUAGAGACCGUCCCACUUUGGGGGGCGCGCGCUGUAUUCCGGAGUUCAUUGACAGUAGUGAAGGGGGACAUGGGGUCACAUCACAUGGGGCAGUGCGAGCAGUGAGGAGCCGAGGACCUGGCGCACAGAGUAUUAGGCAAAGCUCGGACAUGCAGGCAGCUGAAAAGAAGCUCUGCUGGAUGCACAUUCAAAGCCAGUGAAAGGAAUACAUGGCUGGACCUAAUCCGCUGAAGAACCAGCUUGACAUUUGGACUAUUUUAUGGGUAGAUAUCCAUAGUAUGGAGGAAGCCAGAAAUCUACUGUCCUCAUUUUAACACCAUUUUACAGUAAUGUAAAAAGGCCCUGAAUAAGGGUGAAAGUUUUUUGAUGAAGGAAGUAAAAGCUGGACAUUGUCAAAAGGAGUUCUUGAAAUAUAUGAAGGGGGUCUGCUGAGGGUUAAAGCAUGCAUGUGCCUGGAUAAUAAAGGACUUUAUAGAGCCUGGUUUCAACUCUUAUGCUCCACAUUUUGUUAGAGGGUUCUUUAAAAGUGGAACUUUAGUUUGAGGGGGAAGUGUAUAGCUGAUGUUCUAUGGCAAACUUUGGAUGGGAAGCCAUUCUAUAAACACAUUUGGACUAUCACUUAGCCAUUGUGACACACAAUCUUGUCAUUUAUCAUUUAUAUUGUAUGUGUUUAUGCUGGUAUCUUACAUUCUGCAGGCAAAUUUAAUGUCCAGCAGCUGAUGUGUUUUCCUUCUGAGUGACAGAUGAUGUAAACAUCCUACACUCUCAGCUGUGGAGUACAGAAAGCUGGGAGAAGGCUGUUUACGCUGUCUGCCUUGGAGAUCAACGGACUGUUAGGGAAGCAAAUUAUCUGAAAUUGUCUGGUUCACCUAGGUUGAGUUCUGUACUCUCAUAUAUUUAUGUAGUGUAAUAUGGACACUGUUUCUUAAUAAAGCAUAGUUCCAUUCAUGUGUUUUUGUUUAAUUGUUUUAUUAAGUGUUUCUAGCAUUUUUCUACGUAUUGAAUGGCCUCAGACAGUUUUCCAGCUUCACAGCAGCUUGCAUAUCUUCAGAACUGAUAUUAAAGUUGGAAAAUAAAAAUUACUUUGUAAAUUGUCUUGGUGGAAAUAGGGCUUGUGAUACUUUUACUAGUACAUAGACGUUGGAUUCCAUUUAGCGACAUGAUUGGCAGGGGUGUGAGUGUUUAUAUCACCCCCGAUCAGGAUAACAAGCCAGGAGAAGUCUGAGCUGCCACGUGUUCCUCUCCCUGUCUCCAAAUUCCCCUCCCCACAUCAUUCAUAUAACAUGUUUCCUUUGGUUAUUUCACCAACAUAUACUUCCAGGCAAAAAGUCUGUACAGCAAUGCAGCCUACUUAAUCUUGAAGGAGUUGGCUUGGUCUUUGAAGCAUGUCACUGAUUCUCACUUUUGACUGUGGUCUGGGCUUUGACUAGGUCAUUCUAAGAGUUAUGCUGUUGACCAUAGCAACCAAUCAGAUUGCUUCUUUAACCUGUUGGGGACGGAGGGUGUACAGGUACG